Molecule: long non-coding RNA, 752 nt
Filed under: Rattus norvegicus (Norway rat)
Lineage: Eukaryota; Metazoa; Chordata; Mammalia; Rodentia; Muridae
Description: long non-coding RNA NONRATT024153
Source: RNAcentral
UACACAUGUACAUUGUGGCACACAUGCAUCUGUACAAAGACACACUCACACACUGAAUAAACAAGUAUGUAGUAAAUAUAAACUAAAGUGUUAUGCUCAGAGCAAGAUGCCAAGUACAGAAAAUUGUACUUUGUCUACUCUGUGAUUCCACAGACAUUCUAGGAAAGACAGAUCUAAUUAAUACAUCAGUGGUGACCUGGAUCCAGCCAAGGGAGCUCAUUAGGAGAGGGCCCAAGAUACUGUGUGUUCGUGCACAUGUGUGUGCAUGCAUGUUUUUGUGUGUGCAUGUGUGCAUGUGCAUGCAUCUGUGUGUAUGUGUGUGUGCGCGCACACAUGCAUGUGUGUGUGUGUGUGUGUGUGUGUGCGCGCACUUGUGUGUGCGAGAUGGGGCAGGGAGGGAAUUCAUUAGUAUCUACUUGUAUGUCUUGAGGCGGAUUUGCAGUUCAUCAGCUUGCAUUGAGCUUUAAGAAUUGAGUCUAUCUGCCUUUCUCUCCUGAGUUACAGGAAUGUUACGCUAUCUCUGACUUUCAUGUGAGUUCUGGGGAUUUGAACUCAGAUCCUCACACUUGUAGAGUAGGCACUUUACUAUCUGAACCAUCUCCCUGUUCCUCAAGAGAAUCUUUGAAUAAUUAUGAUGGUGAUUUUCUGGAAAUGCAUAGUGAUCAGAAUUUGUAUAUGUAGACUUCAAAUGUAUGUAUUUUAUUUUAUGUAAAUGAUACACUAAUAAAGCUGAUUUAAGAUAUCUGGCCUAA